Molecule: ribosomal RNA, 354 nt
Filed under: uncultured bacterium
Lineage: Bacteria
Description: bacterial SSU rRNA
Rfam family: Bacterial small subunit ribosomal RNA
Source: RNAcentral
AGUCAAUAGAUACCCUGGUAGUCCACGCCGUAAACGUUGGGCACUAGGUGUGGGGAGCCGUCAACGCUCUCUGUGCCGUAGCUAACGCAUUAAGUGCCCCGCCUGGGGAGUACGGCCGCAAGGCUAAAACUCAAAGGAAUUGACGGGGGCCCGCACAAGCGGCGGAGCAUGUUGCUUAAUUCGAAGCAACGCGAAGAACCUUACCUAGGUUGAACUAUGCAGGAAAAGCCACAGAGAUGUGGUGUCCUCGGGUCGUGCGAUAGGUGGUGCAUGGCGUGUCGUCAGCUCGUGUCGUGAGAUGUUGGUUAAGUCCGCAACGAGCGCAACCCUUAUCCUAUGUUGCCAGCACGUAAU